RNAcentral lists this ribosomal RNA (565 nucleotides) under uncultured archaeon. RNAcentral's name for it is "bacterial SSU rRNA". It matches the Rfam family "Archaeal small subunit ribosomal RNA", at positions 314 to 879 of the family's 1478-position model. The record is from RNAcentral.
GCAUUCGCCCUUCGGGGUGCACCAGGCGCGAAAACUUUACAAUGCCGGCAACGGCGAUAAGGGGACCUCGAGUGCCAGGUUACAAAUCUGGCUGUCGUGAUGCCUAAAAAGCAUUGCAUAGCAAGGGCCGGGCAAGACCGGUGCCAGCCGCCGCGGUAACACCGGCGGCUCGAGUGGUAACCGUUAUUAUUGGGUCUAAAGGGUCUGUAGCCGGCCGGAUAAGUCUCUUGGGAAAUCCAGCAGCUCAACUGUUGGGCUUUCAGGAGAUACUGUCUGGCUCGAGGCCGGGAGAGGUGAGAGGUACUUCAGGGGUAGGGGUGAAAUCUUGUAAUCCUUGAAGGACCACCAGUGGCGAAGGCGUCUCACCAGAACGGACCUGACGGCAAGGGACGAAAGCUAGGGGCACGAACCGGAUUAGAUACCCGGGUAGUCCUAGCCGUAAACGAUACUCGCUAGGUGUCGGCCACGGUGCGACCGUUGUCGGUGCCGUAGGGAAGCCGUGAAGCGAGCCACCUGGGAAGUACGGCCGCAAGGCUGAAACUUAAAGGAAUUGGCGGGGGAGCAC